UUGCUUCUCUUGAGAGCGGCGGACGGGUGAGUAAUGCCUAGGAAUCUGCCUGGUAGUGGGGGAUAACGUUCGGAAACGGACGCUAAUACCGCAUACGUCCUUCGGGAGAAAGCAGGGGACCUUCGGGCCUUGCGCUAUCAGAUGAGCCUAGGUCGGAUUAGCUAGCUGGUGGGGUAAUGGCUCACCAAGGCGACGAUCCGUAACUGGUCUGAGAGGAUGAUCAGUCACACUGGAACUGAGACACGGUCCAGACUCCUACGGGAGGCAGCAGUGGGGAAUAUUGGACAAUGGGCGAAAGCCUGAUCCAGCCAUGCCGCGUGUGUGAAGAAGGUCUUCGGAUUGUAAAGCACUUUAAGUUGGGAGGAAGGGCCAUUACCUAAUACGUGAUGGUUUUGACUUUACCGACAGAAUAAGCACCGGCUAACUCUGUGCCAGCAGCCGCGGUAAUACAGAGGGUGCAAGCGUUAAUCGGAAUUACUGGGCGUAAAGCGCGCGUAGGUGGUUUGUUAAGUUGGAUGUGAAAUCCCCGGGCUCAACCUGGGAACUGCAUUCAAAACUGACUGACUAGA
Molecule: ribosomal RNA, 569 nt
Filed under: uncultured Gammaproteobacteria bacterium
Lineage: Bacteria; Pseudomonadati; Pseudomonadota; Gammaproteobacteria
Description: bacterial SSU rRNA
Rfam family: Bacterial small subunit ribosomal RNA
Source: RNAcentral